CCCUUAGAUGUUCUGGGCCGCACGCGCGCUACACUGAUGCAUUCAACGAGCCUAUCCUUGACCGACAGGUCCGGGUAAUCUUUGAAUCUGCAUCGUGACGGGGAUAGAUUAUUGCAAUUAUUAAUCUUCAACGAGGAAUGCCUAGUAGGCGCAAGUCAUCAGCUUGCGUCGAUUACGUCCCUGCCCUUUGUACACACCGCCCGUCGCUCCUACCGAUUGGGUGUGCUGGUGAAAUGUUCGGAUCGGCCGUUUGUCGCGGUUUCCGCGUCAUGUGGCUGAGAAGUUCAUUAAACCCUCCCACCUAGAGGAAGGAGAAGUCGUAGCA
Molecule: ribosomal RNA, 325 nt
Filed under: uncultured eukaryote
Lineage: Eukaryota
Description: partial 18S ribosomal RNA
Rfam family: Eukaryotic small subunit ribosomal RNA
Source: RNAcentral